Tripterygium wilfordii is the source of this 476-nucleotide long non-coding RNA. RefSeq lists it as uncharacterized. The record is from RefSeq and is a predicted model, not a curated record. The transcript is spliced from 2 exons. NCBI's taxonomy places the organism in Eukaryota, Viridiplantae, Streptophyta, Magnoliopsida, Celastrales, Celastraceae.
UUUGGAUUUUUUUUAUUAAAAAAACACACAUAAAAAUAAACAUAAAAAAACCCAAAGUCAUUCGAGGAUGACGAAGAAUCUAUCUAGCAAACCCUCCCGGUGGUCCGUGAGGUAGUCGUUCACAAAGACAGCAACGAGACUCUCUCUCCGAGUAUAAGAAAGAUCUAUCAAAUAUUGAGUGCCAUAGAAGGUGUUGGAGUCGACGUGAAUGACGGAUUUGUCGAGGGCAUAAGCUGUAGUGACAAUAAUGGAUUGGGGGAGGUAGUGGGAUGGAUGGAUGGAUGGGUGGGUGAGGCAACGACGAUGAGGUAAGGAAGAAGCAAUGACACUAAUGUGGAAUGUGGGGCGGCGGUAUGCAAAAAGAAAAAGUGGAAAUUUCUUUAGGUUUUGAUUUUUUUUGGGUUUAUUUUUUUUUAAAAUAGAAUAUCAAGUCAUCCAGGCCACAUAAAUGAGAUCUUAGUCAUCCCAGUAAUCAA